This 205-nucleotide unclassified non-coding RNA is filed under the name root metagenome. RNAcentral describes it as "partial contains small subunit ribosomal RNA, internal transcribed spacer 1, and 5.8S ribosomal RNA". The record is from RNAcentral.
UUUCCGUAGGUGAACCUGCGGAAGGAUCAUUAUCAAAAGUCAAGUCGGGGGCUGUAAAGCUCUCGUCUACACCCAUGUCUUUUGCGUACUCUUGUUUCCUCGGUGGCGCAAGCUGCCGAUUGGACAAACCAAAACCUUUUUUGUCAAAUCUGAAUCAAAACUAAGAAAUAAGUUAAAACUUUCAACAACGGAUCUCUUGGUUCUG